AGCAAAAUUAUGUAUGACAAAAUAUUUAAAAUUAUUAUAUAAUGUGCGAAAAAUUGAUCGACAUCCUGUUAGUUUGCCUGAUUGAAGUAAUGUUGUAGAGACAGCGAGAGUUCAACGAAACUUGAAGAUAAUUUUAUCCUACAAAAUGUUCUUUAUUUGCCCGGCUUAAUAUGCAACUUGAUUUAUGUAUCUCAAUUAAUUGAUUACUCAGAUUGUUUGAUCAUUUUCACUAAACUCUUAUGUAUUAUACAGGACCACACCUCAAGGAUGCUGAUUGGAGCUGGUGAGAGGAAAGAUGGACUCUACUAUUUUUGGAACAAACAGAAGGAACACCCCAAUAGAAUGGAAGAGUGGAAAAAAAGCAUCAUCAUAUCUUGAAUGUAGCCCGGGCCUUGCACUUUCAAGACACCUUAUGAAUUAUUAUAUGGUCGAUUGCCUGGGUGUGGAUAUCUUCAAAUAUUUGGAUCCCUAUGUUAGCUCGAACCUUAGGGAAGAAGGGUGAUAAGUUUUUGAGUAGAUGAUUUAGGUGUGGGUCUUCGUGGGAUAUCCCGAUGGAAAGAAAUGGUGGAGGUAUAUGAUUUAGAGAACAAAGAAUAUCUUGUUUCACAAGACGUUGAUUUCUAUGAAACUGAACUCCCUUUCACUUCAUCAACACAUAACACUAGAAGGGACAAAAAAUAAAGAAAUGUUUGUGGAGGAACUAUGAGAGGAAUGAGGAGUUUGAAGGAAGGGAGAAGUGAAGGAGGAUCAUCACGAAGUCGAGAUAAACGAAACUUUUCACUUGGAGGUAGGGGCCAUAACUGUGGAAGAUGAAAUAAUAAAGGAGGAGCAGUUGGGAUGCGGACACCACCAAAAAUAUACAACGGUCCGAUUGCGUAAUUAUGUUACUAAUGUUGUCUAGAAAUUAAGUUUAUCUUGUCCUCCAUCUACUUCAGAGCAUCACUUAGGUAUGUCUUAUCCUUUAACACAAUAUGUGAAUUGCGAUAAAUUCUUUGUACAAGAAUGUUCUUUCUUUGCAGCAAUCACUGCAGCACAUGAACCGCCUAUUUCUCUGAGGCCAUGAAAGAUGGCAAGUGGAGAGAAGUAAUUAGAUUAGAAAUACAGGCGCUGGAGAAUAACGAAACAUGGGUAAUAGAGGAUCUGCCUCCUAACAAAAAGUCUCUCAGUUAUAGGUGGAUUUACAAGAUAAAGUACAACUCUGAUGGAACACUUGAGCGAAACAAGACCCGACUAGUUAUUCUCGGGAAUCAUCAAGUAGGGGAGAUCAACUAUAAUGAAACAUUUUCCAUAGUGGCAAAGAUAGUGACAGUCUGUACAUUUUUGCUAUAGCAAAGGCAAAGAAUUGGGAGUUACAUCAAAUGGAUUUACAUAAUUCCUUCCUGCAUGGGGAUCUUCAGGAGAAUGUGUAUAUAAAAAUUGCCUCCUGGGUUUUGAGUUGCAAGUCCAGAAAAAGUGUGCAGACUUCAGAAGUUCCUUUAUGGGUUAAAGCAAGCGCCGAGGUGUUAAUUUACUAAGUUGUAGGCUGCCUUAGAGGACUAUGGGUUCAAGUUUUCAUAUUCUAAUUCCUCUCUUUUUACUCUUCAAAAAGGUGAAGUUUGAGUAAAUGUCCUUGUGUAUGUCAAUGAUCUAAUUAUCUUUGGCAAUGAGCCUAAGGCUAUUUGUGAGUUCAAAACAUAUUAUGGAAAAUGCUUUCACAUGAAGGAUUUGGGCAAAUUAAAAUAUUUUCUGGGAGUGGAAGUCUCCAAACAUUCGGAAGGCAUCUUCUUGAGCCAACAAAAAUAUUCCUUGUCAUAGGUUAGGUUAUUAGGUGCUAAGCCUGUGGGAAUGCUGUUGGAACAAAAUCAUCGGCUUGCAUUGGCAGGUAGACAGGCGUUUGAUGACCCCGAGCGCAAUUAUCAUUUGAUAGUCUGACUUAUUUAUCUGUGCUUUACUUGGUCGGAAUUAUCCUAUAAUAUUUAUAUUUUAUCUUAGUUCAUGCACCAACCAUAAGAGGAGCAUUGGCAUGCAACAUUAGGGGUUGUUCGCUACUUGAAAGGGCAUCCGGGACAAGGUACUUUAUUGAGAAGCAAAUAUGAUCUACGUCUCUAUGGAUGGUAUAACUCCGAUUAGGCUGGUUAUCCCUUGACUCGACGCUCUCUUACAGGUUGGUUUAUCUCGUUGGGUGACUCACACAUAUCUUGGAAGACUAAGAAACAAUAUACCGUCUCUCGAUCAUCUGUGGAGGCUGAAUCUCAUUCUAUGACAAUAAUAAUAUGUGAGGUGAAAUGGUUGAAGGAAAUUUUAUUUAGUUUGGGAGUGACUUGCACUUUUCCUUUUUUUUUUAAAAUUAAUUAUCCACCUCCAUCGAGUAUGGAUAAGGUUUUAUAAAUAUGAAAGCAUUGUAAAAGUGGGAUAUUGCAUAACAGAUAUCUUAUGUUUAAUAGAAAGG
This is a non-coding RNA of Nicotiana tabacum (common tobacco), 2428 nucleotides long. Lineage: Eukaryota; Viridiplantae; Streptophyta; Magnoliopsida; Solanales; Solanaceae. The record is from RefSeq and is a predicted model, not a curated record.